GCAGUGAUGGCCGAGUGGUUAAGGCGUCUGACUAGAAAUCAGAUGGGAUCUUCCCGCGUAGGAUUUGAAUCCUACUCAUUGCG
RNAcentral lists this transfer RNA (83 nucleotides) under Penaeus chinensis. RNAcentral describes it as "tRNA-Ser". It matches the Rfam family "tRNA". From Rfam's summary of the family: Transfer RNA (tRNA) molecules are approximately 80 nucleotides in length. Their secondary structure includes four short double-helical elements and three loops (D, anti-codon, and T loops). Lineage: Eukaryota; Metazoa; Arthropoda; Malacostraca; Decapoda; Penaeidae. The record is from RNAcentral.